RNAcentral lists this ribosomal RNA (744 nucleotides) under uncultured bacterium. Its description in RNAcentral is "bacterial SSU rRNA". It matches the Rfam family "Bacterial small subunit ribosomal RNA", at positions 8 to 796 of the family's 1533-position model. The record is from RNAcentral.
AGAGUUUGAUCAUGGCUCAGAACGAACGCUGGCGGCAGGCUUAACACAUGCAAGUCGAACGCACCUUCGGGUGAGUGGCAGACGGGUGAGUAACGCGUGGGAACGUGCCCUUCAGUUCGGAAUAACCCAGGGAAACUUGGGCUAAUACCGGAUACGUGCGAGAGCAGAAAGAUUUAUCGCUGAAGGAUCGGCCCGCGUCUGAUUAGCUAGUUGGUGGGGUAAUGGCCCACCAAGGCGACGAUCAGUAGCUGGUCUGAGAGGAUGAUCAGCCACAUUGGGACUGAGACACGGCCCAAACUCCUACGGGAGGCAGCAGUGGGGAAUAUUGGACAAUGGGCGCNGCCCUGAUCCCAGCCCAUGCCGCGUGAGUGAUGAAGGCCUUAGGGGUUGUAAAGCUCUUUCGGCGGGGACGAUAAUGACGGUACCCGCAGAAGAAGCCCCGGCUAACUUCGUGCCAGCAGCCGCGGUAAUACGAAGGGGGGCUAGCGUUGUUCGGAAUCACUGGGCGUAAAGGGCGCGUAGGCGGCUUGAUAAGUCGGGGGUGAAAGCCUGUGGCUCAACCACAGAAUUGCCUUCGAUACUGUCUGGCUUGAGACCGGAAGAGGUAAGUGGAACUGCGAGUGUAGAGGUGAAAUUCGUAGAUAUUCGCAAGAACACCAGUGGCGAAGGCGGCUUACUGGUCCGGUUCUGACGCUGAGGCGCGAAAGCGUGGGGAGCAAACAGGAUUAGAUACCCUAGUAGUCC